UAAGGGAUAUUGCACAAUGGGCGCAAGCCUGAUGCAGCAACGCCGCGUGCCCGAUGAAGGCCUUCGGGUCGUAAAGGGCUUUUCUGGCUGAAGAGGACGGACGGUAAGCCAGGAAUAAGUGUCGGCUAACUACGUGCCAGCAGCCGCGGUAAAACGUAGGACGCAAGCGUUAUCCGGAGUUACUGGGCGUAAAGGGCGGGUAGGCGGGGUCUCAAGUGGGCUGUGAAAGCGCCCGGCUUAACCGGGCGAGGCCAGUCCAAACUGAGGCUCUGGAGGGCAGCAGAGGUGCGUGGAAUUCCGGGUGGAGUGGUGAAAUGCGUAGAGAUCCGGAGGAACACCAGAGGCGAAGGCGGCGCACUGGGCUGUACCUGACGCUGAACCGCGACAGCCAGGGGAGCGAACGGGAUUAGAAACCCCGGUAGUCCUGGCCGUAAACGAUGUUCACUGAGUGUCGGGGGGUUUCCCCUCGGCGCUGAAGCUAACGCGCUAAGUGAACCGCCUGGGGAGUACGGUCGCAAGGCUAA
This 524-nucleotide ribosomal RNA is filed under the name uncultured bacterium. RNAcentral's name for it is "bacterial SSU rRNA". It matches the Rfam family "Bacterial small subunit ribosomal RNA", at positions 355 to 897 of the family's 1533-position model. The record is from RNAcentral.